CACGUAGGGGGCAAGCGUUGUCCGGAUUUAUUGGGCGUAAAGAGCUCGUAGGCGGUUCGGUAAGUCAGGUGUGAAACCUCCAGGCUCAACCUGGAGACGCCACCUGAUACUGCUGUGACUCGAGUCCGGUAGGGGAGCGUGGAAUUCCUGGUGUAGCGGUGAAAUGCGCAGAUAUCAGGAGGAACACCGAUGGCGAAGGCAGGUCUCUGGGCCAUUACUGACACUGAGAAGCGAAAGCAUGGGGAGCGAACAGG
Molecule: ribosomal RNA, 254 nt
Filed under: uncultured bacterium
Lineage: Bacteria
Description: partial 16S ribosomal RNA
Rfam family: Bacterial small subunit ribosomal RNA
Source: RNAcentral